AGCAGUCGCGCGGGAAUACCGAGGGUGCGAGCGUUAAUCGGAUUUACUGGGCGUAAAGCGUGCGUAGGCGGCUUCUUAAGUCGGAUGUGAAAUCCCUGAGCUUAACUUAGGAAUUGCAUUCGAUACUGGGAAGCUAGAGUAUGGGAGAGGAUGGUAGAAUUCCAGGUGUAGCGGUGAAAUGCGUAGAGAUCUGGAGGAAUACCGAUGGCGAAGGCAGCCAUCUGGCCUAAUACUGACGCUGAGGUACGAAAGCAUGGGGAGCAAACAGGAUUAGAUACCCGGGUAGUCCCUGUCUCUUAUACA
This 303-nucleotide ribosomal RNA is filed under the name uncultured bacterium. Its description in RNAcentral is "partial 16S ribosomal RNA". It matches the Rfam family "Bacterial small subunit ribosomal RNA", at positions 510 to 808 of the family's 1533-position model. The record is from RNAcentral.